GAUCCGGGAUCGAAAGAGGCCGGGAUCCUGUGAUCCGGGCCCAAUUAGGUUUAAGCUGUAUCUCUUGCAACAUUAAAGCAACGACACGACAAUACUUCUCCCCCUUGCCAAAACAGCAGGUUCUAAGAGCAGUACCGGGAAGAUGUGUCGUUGCAGAAAGGA
This 162-nucleotide small RNA is filed under the name Sinorhizobium meliloti 2011. RNAcentral describes it as "putative ncRNA". The record is from RNAcentral. Lineage: Bacteria; Pseudomonadati; Pseudomonadota; Alphaproteobacteria; Hyphomicrobiales; Rhizobiaceae.